This is a small nucleolar RNA of Callithrix jacchus (white-tufted-ear marmoset), 82 nucleotides long. Its record names the gene SNORD115. It matches the Rfam family "Small nucleolar RNA SNORD115". Rfam says of the family: HBII-52 is a member of the C/D class of snoRNAs, which contain the C (UGAUGA) and D (CUGA) box motifs. HBII-52 is encoded in a tandemly repeated array with another C/D snoRNA, HBII-85, in the Prader-Willi syndrome (PWS) region of chromosome 15. NCBI's taxonomy places the organism in Eukaryota, Metazoa, Chordata, Mammalia, Primates, Cebidae. The record is from Ensembl.
GGCUCAAGGACAAGAACAUUAUGUUGUUCUGAAGAGAGGUGAUGACUUAAAAAUCAUGCUCAGUAGGAUUACGCUGAGGCCC